This 253-nucleotide ribosomal RNA is filed under the name uncultured bacterium. Its description in RNAcentral is "partial 16S ribosomal RNA". It matches the Rfam family "Bacterial small subunit ribosomal RNA", at positions 524 to 776 of the family's 1533-position model. The record is from RNAcentral.
UACGUAGGGUGCAAGCGUUAUUCGGAAUUACUGGGCGUAAAGCGUGCGCAGGCGGUUUUGUAAGUCUGUCGUGAAAGCCCCGGGCUCAACCUGGGAAUUGCGAUGGAGACUGCAAGGCUUGAAUCUGGCAGAGGGGGGUAGAAUUCCACGUGUAGCAGUGAAAUGCGUAGAGAUGGGGAGGAACACCGAUGGCGAAGGCAGCCCACUGGGUCACGAUUGACGCUCAUGCACGAAAGCGUGGGGAGCAAACAGG